ACACUGACGUCGCGACGCAUAUCAAUAAGCGGAGGAAAAGAAACUAACAAGGAUUCCCUUAGUAACGGCGAGUGAAGCGGGAAGAGCUCAAAUUUGAAAUCUUCAAGGUUCUACCUUGACGAAUUGUAGUUUAAAGAAGUGUUUUCUGUUAGAUGAGUAGCAAAAGUUCCUUGGAAUGGGACAUCAUAGAGGGUGAGAAUCCCGUAUUUGGUUAUUCAUUCUAGCUUUGUGAUACACUUUCAAAGAGUCGGAUUGUUUGGGAAUGCAGUCCAAAAUGGGUGGUAAAUUUCAUCUAAAGCUAAAUAUUGGCGAGAGACCGAUAGCGAACAAGUACCGUGAGGGAAAGAUGAAAAGAACUUUGAAAAGAGAGUUAAACAGUACGUGAAAUUGUCAAAAGGGAAGCGUUUGACACCAGUGUUGUUUUUCCGAAAAUCAAUUAUAAAUGUUUUGUUUCUGAGGAGUGAUGACUUCAUCGGCUUCCUUCUCUCUUCACGAAACUUUUGUAAUGCACUUUUCGGUUAACAAGUCAACAUCAAUUUCUUUUGUUGUAAAAGAGGUCAUUCGGAAGGUGGCUUUCUUUUCGGAGAAAGUGUUUAUAGCCCUAUGACUUCUGCAAUCGGAGAGAUUGAGGUCUGCAGCGUAGAUCCUUCGGGGUUAGAUACAUUUGUGCUAAGUUAUAGCCUUUCAUAGACAACUUGUUGACUAUGAUCAGUCAUGUAGCUUACUCGCUUAUGCUAUUUUACCUACGCUUAGGAUGUUAAGUCGUAGAGCACGCAG
RNAcentral lists this ribosomal RNA (777 nucleotides) under uncultured Neocallimastigales. RNAcentral describes it as "partial large subunit ribosomal RNA". It matches the Rfam family "Eukaryotic large subunit ribosomal RNA", at positions 25 to 628 of the family's 3401-position model. The record is from RNAcentral. Lineage: Eukaryota; Fungi; Neocallimastigomycota; Neocallimastigomycetes; Neocallimastigales.